AGUCUUCAAGAUGUCACGUCCUUAAUGGCGUUAAUAUAUUUCCUUGGAUGUUACGGCUUUGGAACUGAAUCAGAACCCAAGUCUGUCUGAGGAGCAUUGACGUGCCGUUACCCAGAGCCGUUCCUCCCGGGAGAGGCGACACAGAGCCCUGAAGUACCCGAGCCCUGCGAGGUGCAGCCAGCUCAUAGCAAGAAGGAUAUGCAUU
Molecule: long non-coding RNA, 205 nt
Organism: Nothoprocta perdicaria
Lineage: Eukaryota; Metazoa; Chordata; Aves; Tinamiformes; Tinamidae
Exons: 3
Source: RefSeq, a predicted model, not a curated record